This 593-nucleotide unclassified non-coding RNA is filed under the name Hevea brasiliensis (rubber tree). The record is from RNAcentral. Lineage: Eukaryota; Viridiplantae; Streptophyta; Magnoliopsida; Malpighiales; Euphorbiaceae.
UAAAACAAGGCGUCCAGUGGCAUCCUUGGGGUGAUGGCCAUUUCCGUGGCACCGAAGAAUUUGCAGCCAAAGCUUGCUGCAAGCAGAACCAACUCAAAUUCGGGUUUAAUCUUGAAAGAAAGAUGACUAACAAAGAGUCCCAGACUCUUUUCAGUGAUGAUAUGGAGAUGGACAGAUUGGCAGACGUGGAUGCUAUUGACUACGAAUGGUUUUAUACAGUAUCAGUAACCCGAUCAUUUGCUGUUGAGGAUGGAAUUCUUGGCAAGACAUUUGGCUCCUGGGCUUUUAUUUGGUUGACUGGUAACCAUGAGUUACAGAUGUACGAGUGUGAGAGAGUUAAAGAGGCUCGUAUGCNNNNUGGGGUACAGACUUUGGUCUGUAUUUCAACCACUUGUGGAGUUGUUGAAUUGGGCUCCUCGAAUACGAUCGAUAAAGAUUGGAGCCUAGUGCAACUCUGCAAAUCGCUGUUCGGGGGAGACACAGCCUGCUUGGUCUCAAAGGAGCCAAGCCACGAGUCUCAAAUACAGAUUCCUAAUACUUGUCUCCUUGAUAUUGGCACGUUUUCAGCUUCUCAAAAGGAGACCUUUACGCAG